UUUUUACUAUGGAGAGUUUGAUCCUGGCUCAGGAUUAACGCUAGCGGCAGGCCUAAUACAUGCAAGUCGAACGGCAGCACGGGUAGCAAUACCUGGUGGCGAGUGGCGCACGGGUGCGUAACGCGUAUGCAACCUACCUUUGACUGGGGAAUAGCCCCGAGAAAUCGGGAUUAAUACCCCAUAAUAUUAUACAGUGACAUCACUAUAUAAUUAAAGCUUUGGCGGUCUUAGAUGGGCAUGCGUGACAUUAGCUUGUUGGUGAGGUAACGGCUCACCAAGGCUACGAUGUCUAGGGGUUCUGAGAGGAUUUUCCCCCACACUGGUACUGAGACACGGACCAGACUCCUACGGGAGGCAGCAGUAAGGAAUAUUGGGCAAUGGACGCAAGUCUGACCCAGCCAUGCCGCGUGCAGGAUGACAGCCCUACGGGUUGUAAACUGCUUUUGUACGGGAAAAAUUCCCUGGUCGUGUACCAGGGUUGAUGGUACCGUAAGAAUAAGCAUCGGCUAACUCCGUGCCAGCAGCCGCGGUAAUACGGAGGAUGCAAGCGUUAUCCGGAUUUAUUGGGUUUAAAGGGUGCGCAGGCGGAAUGAUAAG
RNAcentral lists this ribosomal RNA (597 nucleotides) under Bacteroidota bacterium. Its description in RNAcentral is "bacterial SSU rRNA". It matches the Rfam family "Bacterial small subunit ribosomal RNA", at positions 1 to 587 of the family's 1533-position model. Lineage: Bacteria; Pseudomonadati; Bacteroidota. The record is from RNAcentral.